CAAAAAAAAAAAGAAAAAAAAAAAGAGGCAGAACUCCAAUAGGUGCCGAGCGGCAUUAGGGUUUUGCCCAACUCUGAAUACUUAUAAAAGCCGCCUAUGCAGAGAUUCUUCCACUCGUCGUCGAGGAGUCGACUCCAUUUCGAGGUCACGAUCUGAAGAACUACUGGGCUUGUAAACUGUAAAGGAUAAGCUGAAACUGUGCUCAUCUGAUUCAUGGGAGGCCAAAAGCAAUGCUGGGGAGUUUCGCUGAUAAUGCCUUUCUUCUCCUUUUGUAACUUGAAGGCGUUUAUUAGUAACUCCUCCAUACAUGACCAUGAGCCAAUAAUGCAUCCUUCUUUUCCAGAAAUGCGGUGACUGUCAAGGAACCAUCUCUACUUUGACACAAAAAAAUAUAUUGAUGUUUUCUUUCAACGAAGAAUGACAUCAUACUCGACCCCUUUACAAUGUUUUCCUUUUAACCAAGAAUGACACCAUACUUGUCCUUAUUACCUUACAACCAAACGUAAUGUGCAAUGCAAGUGUUUUUCCUCUUUCUUUAGAGCUUACCCGUUUGAGAGGUGUGGGGUGUUGGUUGAGAGGUGUUAGAUUGACAGGGGUUGAGGGUGUUGGGAGGUGUUAGGAUUUUUAUAUAUAACCUUAUAGAGAGAUUUUGUCCCAACAGUCCCGAACGUCUGAAACAGUCAAGGGUUGGGAGGUACUCAACACCCUUGAACACCUUAAAUGGACAAACCCUUAUUCUCAGCCAUUAAAUACCUCUUCUUAACCUCAACACCCUUCCGCUCUGUGGAUUACACAAUGUUGCCCAAGUUUAAAUUAACGAGAAGUGGUCAGAUAGGCAAGUCUUAAUCCUUGCAUUUUAUUUGCUAAGGCAAAGUUAACUCUGCCGGAGCAGAAUGUGAAUAUAUGACCUGAUAAUGUAAUCUAGGGCUGGAGAUAAAGGUAUGAAAAUAUAUAAAGGUCUGAUUGUAUGUCUACAAUUUAUUAUGAUAAUGACUUUCUCUACAUGAACUAAAAGAUAUAAGAUGAUAAACAGUUAAAGAGUCACUACCAGGGCAUUUGACUGCAUUAUGCAUCAAUAAACAUCACAAAAAUACUCCUGCCAUCCACAAUUCAAACUCUACUAUUUUGCUCUCU
Long non-coding RNA from Tripterygium wilfordii, 1134 nucleotides. RefSeq lists it as uncharacterized. The transcript has 2 exons. The record is from RefSeq and is a predicted model, not a curated record. Lineage: Eukaryota; Viridiplantae; Streptophyta; Magnoliopsida; Celastrales; Celastraceae.